CUGGCUCCUGGUGCCUCUCUAUGGAGAGCACCUCUGUGCCUCUCUGAGAGCACUCACAGCCAAAAGUACACAGCUGCCCCCAGGCUGAGAGUGCUUGAUACACCCUUGAAUCCCCUCUUAUAUGAUGCCCCAGCCCAGGAGAGAUAAAAGCAUCAGCACCAUGAGAUUCACCUGCCUCUGGUCGUUAGAGAUGGAAUUUCAACAUGUUGCCCAGACUGGUCUGGAACUCCUGUGCUCAAGUGAUUCGCCUGCCUCGGCCUCCGAAAGUGCUGGG
RNAcentral lists this long non-coding RNA (274 nucleotides) under Homo sapiens (human). Its description in RNAcentral is "non-protein coding lnc-DNTTIP2-1:5". The record is from RNAcentral. Lineage: Eukaryota; Metazoa; Chordata; Mammalia; Primates; Hominidae.